Molecule: small nuclear RNA, 290 nt
Filed under: Rattus norvegicus (Norway rat)
Lineage: Eukaryota; Metazoa; Chordata; Mammalia; Rodentia; Muridae
Description: 7SK RNA
Rfam family: 7SK RNA
About the family: 7SK was discovered as an abundant small nuclear RNA in the mid-70s but a possible function has only recently been suggested. Two independent studies have found that 7SK RNA binds the CDK9/cyclin T complex (known as elongation factor P-TEFb).
Source: Rfam by way of RNAcentral
AGAUAUGAGGGCAAUAUGGCUGAGACAUCUGUCAUCUCACUGAUUGCCGUGGUUGAGUCAGCUGAUCUGACUCGCUAGAUAAAUGUCCUCCCACUCCCUUUCUGUCCCACAUGUGCCCUUCCAAAGCUGCAUGCUCCAUUGAAAAUGACCUUCUCCCAUAGAGGAAGACCAUCCUCCAGUCAAGAGUAUAACUGCAGUCCCCAGCUAGAACCUCCGAAUAGGCCCUCAAGGCCAAAUGCUGCCCCGCCAGCCUAGCUGAGGCAGGAACCAUUACAUGGCUUUGUGCUUAC